RNAcentral lists this ribosomal RNA (253 nucleotides) under uncultured bacterium. Its description in RNAcentral is "partial 16S ribosomal RNA". It matches the Rfam family "Bacterial small subunit ribosomal RNA", at positions 524 to 776 of the family's 1533-position model. The record is from RNAcentral.
UACGUAGGUGGCGAGCGUUGUCCGGAUUUACUGGGCGUAAAGAGCGCGCAGGCGGUCGUCCAAGUCGCGUGUGAAAGCCCCCGGCUCAACUGGGGAGGGUCACUCGAUACUGAUCGACUCGAAGGCAGGAGAGGGAAGCGGAAUUCCCGGUGUAGUGGUGAAAUGCGUAGAUAUCGGGAGGAACACCAGUGGCGAAGGCGGCUUCCUGGCCUGUUAUUGACGCUGAGGCGCGAAAGCUAGGGUAGCAAACGGG